GACGAACGCUGGCGGCGUGCUUAACACAUGCAAGUCGAACGGAAAGGCCUAGCUUGCUGGGUACUCGAGUGGCGAACGGGUGAGUAACACGUGGGUGAUCUGCCCCUGACUUUGGGAUAAGCCUGGGAAACUGGGUCUACUACCGGAUAUUCAUUUUUCCUCGCAUGGGGUUUUUUGGUAAGCUUUUGCGGUUGUGGAUGGGCCCGCGGCCUAUCAGCUUGUUGGUGGGGUAAUGGCCUACCAAGGCGACGACGGGUAGCCGACCUGAGAGGGUGAUCGGCCACACUGGGACUGAGACACGGCCCAGACUCCUACGGGAGGCAGCAGUGGGGAAUAUUGCACAAUGGGCGCAAGCCUGAUGCAGCGACGCCGCGUGAGGGAUGACGGCCUUCGGGUUGUAAACCUCUUUCAGCUCCGACGAAGCGCAAGUGACGGUAGGAGCAGAAGAAGCACCGGCCAACUACGUG
RNAcentral lists this ribosomal RNA (467 nucleotides) under uncultured bacterium. Its description in RNAcentral is "partial 16S ribosomal RNA". It matches the Rfam family "Bacterial small subunit ribosomal RNA", at positions 28 to 507 of the family's 1533-position model. The record is from RNAcentral.